Macaca fascicularis (crab-eating macaque) is the source of this 1619-nucleotide long non-coding RNA. The record is from Ensembl. NCBI's taxonomy places the organism in Eukaryota, Metazoa, Chordata, Mammalia, Primates, Cercopithecidae.
CCACUGCACUCCAGCCUGGGCGACAGAGUGAGACCCUAUCUUAAAAGGGGAUGAAGUCGGAUGAGAAAGCUCACCUGUCCUUGGUCCACGGCGCCCUCAGGACAAAGCCACCUCCUGCCUCUCCCACUGGGCUGGGGCCUCAGAUUCCCCUCUGCCAGGGCUGUCUGCUGAUGGGGUGUGGGAAGAUUGAGUGUCUGCUAGCAAACACCUGCUGCCCGUUAUCUUCAACUCCCUUCAGAGAAGCCUGGAUAAAUCAGAAACUAUCUUCAGUGGCGGCUAAUCAUGAAACCAAGCAGCUGGCCUUCCUCCCCUGAGAUAGUUGGAGAAAAGCAGCCUUUCCCAGCCUCACCUGGCCUCGGUGGAUGGCUGUAGAGUCCCCCGGCAAUGGAAUUGGGCACCAGCCCCCGAGUGCUUUGGAAAGAAUCCGAGCCUGGGCUCUGUGAUGGUGACAAUAUUAAGUCACUCUCUCGCUCUGGGCCUGCUUCUCAUCUGCAAAACGGAAGCUUAGGACUCUGAUGUUUAGGGCCUGUAAUAAGUAAAAAUAUUGCAUUGGUAAGACACCAGCGCUAACCAUGCAGAGUGGACACUAACCAGAAACAACUGAUGUGCUGGCCAUGAUGAAGACCAUCGGUCCUUUGAAUUUUGAGUUUCAACACUUUGGUGUGCCUCCUUCCAGUAUCCGUAUCCCCUAUGCAUUACACACUAUUUUUUUGGCUCACUGCAACCUCCGACUCCUGGGUUCAAGUGAUUCUCCUGCCUCAGCCUCCUGAGUAGCUGGGAUUACAGGCGCCCACCACCACACCUGGCUAAUUUUUGUAUUUCUAGUAGAGACGGGAUUUCACCAUGUUGAUCAGACUGGCCUUGAACUCCUGACCUCGUGAUCCACCCACCUCGGCCUCCCAAAGUGCUGCUGGAAUUAUAGGUGUGAGCCACCAUGCCCGGCCUACACACACACUUUGCAUUAUACCUUUUCAUAACACGGCAUAUUGACUUACUGUCCCCCAACACAUCCAGUUUGGAUAUGUUAUUUAAUGCCACCACAAUCCACAGAUGAUAUUCUAAUUUUUUGCCCUUAAUGUCAACCUGCAGCAUCCACUUGUGCAGAUGCUUCAAAGCCAGUCCUCCAUUCUACAGGGUGGGGCAGGAGAUGGAUUGUGGUCCCGGUUGAGAUCAGGGCUUCCUUGAAUGAGGGGUUCGCUCUUGGAUGACUGACCCUUGAAAGCACCCCUGGCACUCAUUCUAUUAAGUGAUCUUUUCCCCCAGACUUUUAAAAGGCAAAGUCCCAGAAUCCAAGUCCAACAGAAAAGAAAAGUGGAGCUUUGGCCAGGUGUGGUGGCUCACGCUUGUAAUCCCAGCACUUUGGGAGGCCAAGGCAGGCGGAUCACCUGAGGUCAAGUGUUUGAGACCAUCCUGGCCAACAUGGUGAAACCCCAUCUCUGCUAAAAAUACAAAAAUUAGCCGGGUGUGGUGGGGCAUGCCUGUUCUCCCAGCUACUCGGGAGGCUGAGGCAGGAGAAUCGCUUCAGCCCAGGAAGCAGAGAUUUCAGUGAGCCGAGAUCAUGCCAUUGCACUUUAGCCUGGGCAACAGAGCAAGACUCCAUCUCAAAAAAAAAAAAAAAA